Molecule: non-coding RNA, 138 nt
Organism: Ornithorhynchus anatinus (platypus)
Lineage: Eukaryota; Metazoa; Chordata; Mammalia; Monotremata; Ornithorhynchidae
Source: Rfam
CCCCUUUCAGGGUCACACCUGGAGAUUUUCCAGUACUCUACCAGUUUUGACUACAGGAGGGAGAGUGAAGCAGAGGCCUAUCUAUUCCAUUCCUAGCAUGGACAGUGGCUAGCAAAUGGAAGGCAAUCUGCUACAAGU